UACGUAGGUGGCAAGCGUUGUCCGGAAUUAUUGGGCGUAAAGCGCGCGCAGGUGGUUUCUUAAGUCUGAUGUGAAAGCCCCCGGCUCAACCGGGGAGGGUCAUUGGAAACUGGGAGACUUGAGUGCAGAAGAGGAUAGUGGAAUUCCAAGUGUAGCGGUGAAAUGCGUAGAGAUUUGGAGGAACACCAGUGGCGAAGGCGACUAUCUGGUCUGUAACUGACACUGAGGCGCGAAAGCGUGGGGAGCAAACAGG
RNAcentral lists this ribosomal RNA (253 nucleotides) under uncultured bacterium. RNAcentral's name for it is "partial 16S ribosomal RNA". It matches the Rfam family "Bacterial small subunit ribosomal RNA", at positions 524 to 776 of the family's 1533-position model. The record is from RNAcentral.